This 426-nucleotide long non-coding RNA is filed under the name Pan troglodytes (chimpanzee). RNAcentral describes it as "long non-coding RNA NONPTRT004512". Lineage: Eukaryota; Metazoa; Chordata; Mammalia; Primates; Hominidae. The record is from RNAcentral.
CUCUUUGUAACUUUUAUUGAAAAAUUUUCACAUAUAAAUGGAUCUGUGCAGCUCAAAGCCAUGUUAUUCAAGGGUCACGUGUAACAUUCUUCUUUCCAUGUCUACGAAAGCAUCUCUUUGCUCCGCUAUUUCCCUCCUUUGUUUCACUUAAACCUUUAUAGAAUUCCUUCAUCCUGAAAUAUCUCAUCCUUGGUCAUCAGUCACUCUUCAGAAAAUUCCAUUUUCUAGGCAUACAAUGCCGAAUUUUGUCUUAUCUUUAUAAUCACUAGCAGUGUCUAAACAUAUACAUGUAAACCUAUUCAUUUAUAUGUUGGUUAUUUGUACCUAAUAAUAAUAAUAGCUCACAUUAGGGGAAGCUUAAAUUAUGCCAAGCACUGCUAUCUCAUAAUAGCCUAUGGGAUCAAUACUAAUACCCCAUUUUGCAGA